Molecule: unclassified non-coding RNA, 407 nt
Filed under: uncultured Saccharomycetes
Lineage: Eukaryota; Fungi; Ascomycota; Saccharomycetes
Description: sequence contains ITS2
Rfam family: 5.8S ribosomal RNA (bases 1-154)
Source: RNAcentral
AACUUUUAACAAUGGAUCUCUUGGUUCUCGCAUCGAUGAAGAACGCAGCGAAUUGCGAUAAGUAAUGUGAAUUGCAGAAUUUUGUGAAUCAUCGAAUCUUUGAACGCACAUUGCGCCCUUUGGUAUUCCAGAGGGCAUACCUGUUUGAGCGUCAUUUCAUUCUUAAAUCGAAAGAUUUAGUGUUGAGUAUUUUGUCUUUUAAAGACAAUGACUUGAAAUGAAUUUGGCAGAAGCGAAUCCAGUUUUAGCUUUUUAAAAAACAACGUAUUAGGUUUUACCAUCUCGUUGGCAUUAAUUUUUUGAAGCACUUGGAGAGUAGCUUUGGCGUUAAUAACAAAACUAUAAAGUUUGACCUCAAAUCAGGCAAGAUUACCCGCUGAACUUAAGCAUAUCAAUAAGCGGAGGCU